GGGUUUAAUGUUGCACGGACCAAAUCAAAAGUGUUGUGCCGCUAGUUUUAAGGUUGCACAUUCAACCACUGUUGCGAUAUUAGCAAGCUAACUCGGCUAAUUAAUAUGGCUUAUUUCAUAUUGCCUGUGUACUUGUACAUUUCUUUUAACUUCACAGCCUGUUAUAUUUUGGUGGAGGUUUAGUUUGGCAAUAUUUCCAGUAACUGACUGACUAAAAUAACUUUUUGGUAGGACUGUUGUGCUUGUUGUCAUCUCUUUGUCCCUAUGAAAUCACUUAAGUUGCUAUUAAAUGCUGUGUGCUGAGCUGCAAGAGUGCACUGAGGAGUGAGACAAAAUAUGGUCUGCAACCCAGCAUUAUAUUAGUUUUUAUGAGAUAGUUCAGUGUUUAUCUUAUGCUGGCUAACGCCGACCAGCUCAUAUUGACUAUUUAUUUCCAUACUGUCCUGCUCUUAUGUUUCAGACAGAAGUCUGUUUUCUUUUGUUUGAAUGUGGAAAACUUUCGUACUCUUAUCUUGGCCCAGAACAUUGAUGGAUAUUCUUCCUUUGGGUUAUAUUGGUGUAAAUGAUGAGCAUUUUGGUGUUUGUGGUUGUUGUUUUUUGUUUUUUUUCAUCAGAGUUGCUAUCAUCACUUCAUCAGGCAGUCUGCAUAUGCCAUGCAGACCAGGUUAUACAUGGGAUCUCCCCAAAAAAUCCUCCACUGUCUUUAUUUCUUGCAGUAAUGAUAUUGUGGAAUUAUUUCUCUCCCUGAAACACUUUAUGCUUAACAACAGCUCCAUUUUCACUUUUUUUUAAAAAACUCCUGUGAUCAGUAUGACCAAAUUGUGUGAGUGUCCAUACUAAAAGAGCUGUAGUGAUAAAAUAAUUGGUAUCAGAGACAAUGAAUUUUGGCAUGGUAUACUGCAGAAGGCCCUUGGGUUGUUUCUCUGAUUUGUUGCAUAAAUUGGCUUACUACAUUCCCUGUGUUGUAACAAAAAUAACAUUGUUUAUAGGUGUCAGAAAAUUGUGAGCAAACACACAUUUAAGAAGACAACAGUUUAAUUAUAUCUGAUAUGUUUUUAUUUUAUUUUAGGACUGUGAAGCCAAACUAGGUGCUGGGCAUUUAUUCUUGUCAAUGGAGUGAAAUGGUAAGUUACUUUUUUUCAUACUGGAAACACCACAGAUUAUAUUGUAAUUUGAUAGCUCUGUAGAAUAAAGCACUGUAGUGUCAAGGUACUUCUGAAGAAGUAAUAAUGGGCGAUUGAUGAUCACAUACAGGUGGCAUAAACUAAGUAUUCAGAUAUGCUACCAACAAAUAAUUCAUUAACAAAAGCAAUGGAGAACACUUUUUAUGCUACUGUGUUUGUAAUAGCAUCCAUAACUGAAGGUUUUUCAUUCAUUUAUUUUCACAGGUCUAGAUGAUCACAUCUGUUUCUGUCUUUUGAAUGAGGUGGACUUGCAAAUUUUGUACUUUUUUUCGUGGAAAUCGCAAGAGAAUCAUUGAACAUUACAGUAACAGUCACAGACAUUACGGAAGAAGCUGUCCACUACCCUGCAUAUACACAGACUGUGCACAGUAUUUCAGAUCUAAAAAAGCCUUGCGGGUCCAUUUAACAGAUCAUGGGGUUACAGAAGGAGUAUGUAAUGGACUUGCUGGCUUUAAAGUAAAAUGCCUGUUGUGUAACUUUAAUCAGGCAGUUGGACUAAAGCAGUAUAUUGUUCAUCAAGGUAAACAUCUGAGGAAUACGGAAAUUGUUACUUGCCCUUUUAAUCAGUGUUCUUUUAAAUCACACAUUUACUCCAGUUUUACAUCACAUAAGAGUUGUUUUCACCCUCAUUCUACUUUAAAAGAUUUCAAGACAGAGCUUAUUGUCCAAGAAAAUGAAUUUGCAGAAUUUGGAUCUGAAGUAAAUGUUGAUUUGCAGUCAGAAGAUACUCACAGUGAUGGCCAUGUGCCACUUCAAGAUAAUUGUGGCAGUGAAGUAGAACACCAUGAUACCACUGACAAAAUUCAGGAAAAGCUUGCAUCUUCACUUCUGCGCAUGCAAGCAAUAUUGCAUGUUUCCAAAUUAGCUAUCCAGGAAAUAAUCAAUGAGUUUUAUGAAAUUGGCAUUUUGAUAGGUCAUCUAAACAGGAAUACAGUGAAAAGGGUUUUAAGGCAGCACAAUGGUAACAUUGAUGACGACACUAUAACUUUGGUAACUGAUUCCUUGAACAGCCUCAGUCCUCUUUGCUCCAUUUCAGAGAGUGGGUGUUUAGGAUCAGAACAAAAAAGGUUGUCCUAUUUCAGAGAAAAAUUUGGCGUUAUAGACCCAAUUGAAUAUAUCUUAGAUUUAGCAUCAAAGAAAACUUUUCUUUAUGUUCCAGUUCUAAAAACUCUGCAGGAGUUGUUAAAUAAGGGGGAUAUUAUUGACAAAGUUUUAGAAAAAGACAAUACAGGAUCAAAACCUGGCCAGUACAACAGCUCGUUUGAUGGCUCAUAUUUCAAGGAGAAACCACUUCUGUCUGGGGAAGAGCAAAGCAUUUCAUUAGCUCUGUACAUUGAUGAUUUUGAGGUCUGUAAUCCUUUAGAACCUCAAGAAAAAAACAUAAAUUGUGUGCAAUAUACUGGAUGAUAGUAAAUUUACCAGUGAAAUACAGGUCAUUGCUGUCUAGCAUUUACCUUGCUCUCUUGUGUAAAAGUGUAGAUGUUAAGACAUUUGGAUAUAAGAGGAUUGUAGAGCUACUUCUGAGAGAUCUCCAACUGCUUGAAAACCAAGGGGUUUACAUAAGUAGGCUGGGAACCAGUGUUAGGGGUACAGUGUUGUAUGUGUCAUCUGAUAAUUUAGGAGCACAUUCCUUUGCUGGUUUUCAGGAGUCAUUUAAUGUGGAUAAAUUUUGUCGGUUUUGCUUAGCCAGUCGUAGUGAUAUUCAGCGUGUUCCUGUACGAAGUGGGUCAUUUUCAUUGAGAACAAAAGAGUCAUAUAAUGCUAAUGUUUCAAAGCUCAAAGAAAAUGUGAAAUUGAAAAGUGCUGAUGGAGUGAAAAAUGAAUGUGUAUUAAACAAGUUGUCUUAUUUUCAUUGCAUAACUGGGUUUCCCCCUGACUUUUUACAUGAUGUUUUAGAAGGUAUUGUACCUUGGGAGCUCUGUUUGUGUUUGAAAACUUUGAUUGGAAAGAAAUACUUUAUAUUAGAUUAUUUGAAUACUGCCAUUCAACGCUUUCCCUAUAAAUUUUCUGAUAAAACUAACUGUCCACAGAAAAUUACAGAAAAAAUACUUGUCUGUGAAACUAUUGGGGGUAAUGGCCAUGAGAACUGGACUCUGUUGAGGUUGCUACCUCUGCUCAUUGGUGACGUUGUACCUGAAAAUAAUGAUGCUUGGUGUGUAGUUCUGGAACUGAAAGACAUUGUGGAACUUUUAGCAUCCUCCACUUUUACUGAGGAAAGCCUGUGCUAUCUUGAUGCUAAAAUAAGUGAACACAGGAGACUUUUGCAAAGUGUGUUUCCAGGACAGAAACUUAAACCUAAACACCAUUUCCUGGAGCACUACCCUCAUUUGAUCCGCUGCUUUGGCCCACUGGUUGACUUCUGGACGAUUCGUUUUGAAGCUAAACGUAGCUUUUUCAAGAAAGUGGUUCGUGAUGUCAGUAAUUUCAAAAACAUUCUACUGACUUUGUGUCUUAGACACCAGCUUAUGCUGGCAUACCACUUGGACAUGACUACCCUGUUUAAACCAAGAGUGGAAGUUAAGGGAGCAUCAAAUGUUUCUGUGGACAUGCUAGCUUCCUCUGUCAAGCAAGUGAUGGAGAAGAAAUUUACAACUCUGAGAAGUGUGUCACUGGCUACAACAGCAUACAUACAUGGGACACAAUACACCACAGGCAUGUUUGUCUCAUUUGGAAGCACAAGUGGACUUCCUGAUUUUUGUAAAAUUAUUCAUGUGCUGCUUGUAUGCAACAAGUCAUUUUUUGUUUUGGAAUCUUUCUCAGCUUGGUAUGUGGAGCACCUCAGAUGUUACGAACUCUGCAAAAGGAAUACUGCUCAACUGAUGGUAGCUGAACCUGAAGAGCUUAACCACUACAUCCCAUUGUCAGCAUACACUGUACGGGGCAGACUCCUGGUGUCACCAAAGGCAUUUCUUGUACAUUAAGCGAUUCAUCAUGCUACUGCGCAUCAUCCUGAGUGAAGAUGACAUAAGAAAGGUUACCAUCGACAACUUGCCUGAAACUGUUGAAAACUUCCAUAUACUUCUGAAGACGAAACUUGGAUUGGAGGGGGACCUUGUGGUUCAGUAUCAAGACCUUGAAUUUGAUAAUGAACUGUGCAAUCUGAGUAGCAUAUCAGAACUUCCUAAAGAGAAAGCAACAUUGAAGGUGUACACAAAGACUAUUACAACCUACAACACAGACUCCACUCUAGACACAGCAAGCCUGUCAUCAUUUCUUGAGGAGGGCACCAGUGGUGGCCAAACUCGUCAGCUGCCUCAGCCAUUUGUCAUUCCUGCCUUUUCUUUUGAUGUUGAGUCAAAACUGAAGCAAGGAAAUGAAGCCUACCACAGAGAUGGAUCCUUACUUGACAUAUCGAAGGACAUGAAAUCGGAUAUCUUGGAGAAGCUGGCAGAAGCCAUGUAUGUCCACAACCCCUACCCAACACGUGACGAAUAUGAUUGUGUGGCCCAGGCUCUCAUCAGCAAGCAUCCUUGUCUCAAGGAACCAGGGUCUGUCAAUGGGUGGUACUGUUGGAAGUUUAGUUUAAAGUUCAAAAUGGGAAACUUCAGACAGAGGCUGCGAGUGGCUGGAUGUCCUGAACUUAAAGUAAACACACGUACCUCUAGUCAAACUGGGUCAAAAAAACUGAAGCAGGCCAAAAAGUCAGAGGUAAAUUUUCUACCAGGUUUUCCAGAGGGGAAAACCCAACAUGAUCUUGACAUAGAGAGAUCAGUCUUGGUCAGUGAGAUGAAGAAAAUAAUCGUUGACUGGAGGCAAAUUGACUAAAUGAUGUACAACACAUUCUCUUUACGGAGAAAAGAGAUUGUUGAGGAUGAACCUCUGGUGGCACAAGUCAAAGAAAGAUGGCCAGCCUUGUUCUCUGAACGGCAGGUUGAAGCUGAAUUUGCCCGUCUUACAUCUGUUGACCUGAAAGGCUCCUUCUUUGCUGGGCUUGACCAAUAUCUGGAGAGGUUCCUUGAGCUGUACAAAACCAAGAGCGGCAUAGCAAGGCUAACUAGGCUCAUAAAAUGCCUAGAUGAUGACAGCUCUACACAAAGGAAGAGGACCGUUCUUCUGCUGGGUCUUCCUCAUUUUCUCAAGGAAGAUCUCUCACACAUUUUCAAGACUGUGGAGCCCACAGAUAUUGAAGACACGUUCACCAAGGGGAUGAAAGUUGGCAUUGUGAUGGUGAAAGAAGAAGACAUCAUUGAUGUGUUGGUUGUCCUUGAGGAGGCAGUAAUCCUGUCUAAUCUGAGGGAUGUCCCGAGUGCCAUUUCCAUGCUGAUGGGUCUUCUUUUUGCCCUCAACAUAGACUAUCCAAAGGAACUCAAGUACACCUUUGAAGUUAUUCAGAAGGUCCUCAUGAACAUUGGAGGAAGGCAGUGCUCCUCACUAGUGCAUGGUCUAAGAAACAGACUCUUGCGGAAGACCAUGUAGAACUGUAAUUGUAUGCUCACAGCAUGCAAUUGCCUUAGCGUUAAAGACAGUUUUUGUUUUACUGUUUGUUUUUUCCAUACUUUCAAGUUCUCAUGCUUCAUUUUUGUAUGUCACUAAAUGACUAGUUUACAUUUCAGUUUAGACAAUUACUCAUGGUUUAAGAGACUUACUUGUGAACAAAAAUAUAAUAGGGGACUCUGCAAAUGCGUAUCUCAUGCAAGUCUGUAGUUUUUCCCGUGUUUUGCAAUUCAGCUGACUGAACCUGUUUCUAAAAUAUCCAUACCUUUCAAAUGUUUCAGAAGCAUUAAGUACUAAUUUUAACAGCAAUUGGUUCUGUGGAAUGUGUUGUAAUUAUAAAUAAAGACAAAUAGAGUUUGAAGUUUUAGUUAUAAACUGAUCUUUACUGUCACUUAACAGUCAAGGUUUUGUAUUAUGUUAGUAAUUCAAGUUUUAUGCUAACAGGAGUGACUGUGCACAAAUGAGGUUUAAAAAUUUUGCAAUGUAAAGAAUAAUUGUUCUAUAAUAGUUACAUCCUGUUGAUACAUUACAUUAAUAGAGACUUCAUGUUGUUAAUUUUAAUGCAGCAGUUUUAGCUCAUCCUGUUGAAAAACUGAGCUCAUGUCAUAGUGUUCUGUUGUCCAACUGUCAA
This is a non-coding RNA of Oreochromis niloticus (Nile tilapia), 6249 nucleotides long. NCBI's taxonomy places the organism in Eukaryota, Metazoa, Chordata, Actinopteri, Cichliformes, Cichlidae. The record is from RefSeq and is a predicted model, not a curated record.